GAUGAACGCUGGCGGCGUGCUUAACACAUGCAAGUCGAACGGAAAGGCGCUGCUUUUGUGGGGUGCUCGAGUGGCGAACGGGUGAGUAACACGUGAGUAACCUGUCCUUGACUUUGGGAUAACUUCAGGAGACUGGGGCUAAUACCGGAUAGGAGCUCCUGCUGCAUGGUGGGGGUUGGAAAGUUUCGGCGGUUGGGGAUGGUCUCGCGGCUUAUCAGCUUGUUGGUGGGGUAGUGGAUUACCAAGGGUUUGACGGGUAGCCUGCCUGGGAGGGUGUCCAGGGACAUUGGGACUAAGAGACGCAGCAGACUCCAACGGGAGGCAACGGUGGGGAGUAUUGCGGAGUAGGGGGGCGCCUGUGACAACGACGUCGCGUGCGUAAUAACGGGUUUCGGGUUGUGAACAGCUGUGGCAGGAGACAAGGAGUGAGUGACGGUAAUGGGUAAAGAAGCAACGGCUAACUACGUG
Molecule: ribosomal RNA, 468 nt
Filed under: uncultured bacterium
Lineage: Bacteria
Description: partial 16S ribosomal RNA
Rfam family: Bacterial small subunit ribosomal RNA
Source: RNAcentral